This 318-nucleotide non-coding RNA is filed under the name Erinaceus europaeus (western European hedgehog). RNAcentral describes it as "Eukaryotic large subunit ribosomal RNA". It matches the Rfam family "Eukaryotic large subunit ribosomal RNA", at positions 24 to 331 of the family's 3401-position model. Lineage: Eukaryota; Metazoa; Chordata; Mammalia; Eulipotyphla; Erinaceidae. The record is from Rfam by way of RNAcentral.
CCCACUGAAUUUAAGCAUAUUAGUCAGCGGAGGAAAAGAAACUAAAUAGGAUUCCCUCAGUGAAGGUGAGUGAACAGGGAAGAGCCCAGAACCCCAGAACUGAAUCCCCACCCCACAGUGGGGCACGGGAAAUGUGGCUUAUGGAAGACCCUAUCCCCAAUGCCUCUUGUGAGAAGCCCAAGUUCUCUGAUUGAGGCCCUGCCCACGGAUGGUAGUGUCCCCCAUCUUGCUGGGGCCUGGCUAUUCCUGGAGUUAGUUGCUUGGGAAUGCAGCCCAAAGCGGUUGGUAAAUUUCAUCUAAGGCUAAAUACCAGCCUGU